This 347-nucleotide unclassified non-coding RNA is filed under the name uncultured Hypocreales. RNAcentral's name for it is "sequence contains ITS1". The record is from RNAcentral. Lineage: Eukaryota; Fungi; Ascomycota; Sordariomycetes; Hypocreales.
AAUCCAAGAAUUUCACCUCCAACAAUUGAAUACUGAUGCCCCCGACUGUCCCUAUUAAUCAUUACGGCGGUCCUAGAAACCAACAAAAUAGAACCGCACGUCCUAUUUUAUUAUUCCAUGCUAAUGUAUUCGAGCAUAGGCCUGCCUGGAGCACUCUAAUUUUUUCAAAGUAAAAGUCCUGUUUCCCCGCCACGCCCAGUGAAGGGCAUGGGGUUCCACAGAGGGAAAGGCCCGGCCGGACCAGUGCACGCGGUGAGGCGGACCGGCCAGCCAGGCCCAAGGUUCAACUACGAGCUUUUUAACCACAACAACUUUAAUAUACGCUAUUGGAGCUGGAAUUACCGCCC